RNAcentral lists this ribosomal RNA (251 nucleotides) under uncultured prokaryote. Its description in RNAcentral is "partial 16S ribosomal RNA". It matches the Rfam family "Bacterial small subunit ribosomal RNA", at positions 525 to 775 of the family's 1533-position model. The record is from RNAcentral.
ACGUAGGAGGCGAGCGUUAUCCGGAUUUACUGGGUGUAAAGCGCGUGCAGGCGGUCGUGUAAGUGGUGCGUGAAAGCUCCCGGCUCAACCGGGAGAGGACGUGCCAAACUGCAGGGCUAGAGGCAGGUAGAGGCGUGUGGAAUUCCGGGUGUAGUGGUGAAAUGCGUAGAGAUCCGGAGGAACACCAGAGGGGAAGGCGACACCCUGGGCCGUACCUGACGCUAAGACGCGACAGCACGGGGAGCGAACGG